Molecule: transfer RNA, 85 nt
Filed under: Colobopsis nipponica
Lineage: Eukaryota; Metazoa; Arthropoda; Insecta; Hymenoptera; Formicidae
Description: tRNA-Asp
Source: RNAcentral
AAAGAAUUAGUUUAAUAAAAACAUUAAAUUGUCAAUUUAAAAAUAUUUUUAUUUAUUAUUUUAUAAUCUUUUAAAAUAUUCUUUU